GCUGCGGGCGGGGCGGAAGGGGGAGAGAGGGAGGCCCCUGGGCUGAUUGGACGGAGCUGACCGCUCCAUUGGGUACCCCGUCUGUCAAUCUGCACCCCGCUCGCUCUGAUUGGCUGGAGGCCCUGCUACUCCUUUGACGUCGCUUUUCCAAUUCUGGUUGUAAUUGGUCUUUUUCGCUUGGAGCGUGCUGAUUGGCUUCUCGCCACGUCCGUCUCCACGUCGAUUGGGCAGUUCCUCCGUCGGUCUCGGGAUCGGGCUGGAGGGGGUUGAGGAGGCGGGUUGGGAUUGGCCGGUCAGGGCGUUGGUGGCUUGCGAUUGGCUAGAACCGCCUUCAGUCAGUUGGAGGGGAAGCGGCAGUUGGGACCUGAAGAGCCGCGCCCCAGCGUGGGAGAAAUGCGCAAGCGGGCUCUGCCCUGGGGGAUGAUGGGAAACGUAGUUCUUGGCUAGCAGAGGCCAGGGGUUGCCCCGCCUGUAUCUCUGCUGUGGCUGGAUAGGACACGGACCGCCGCCUGUCUCAAACCUGUGACGUCACUGCGCGGGGUGUGACAUCACACUGCGCUUCAAAACCCAGUGAUGUCACUGGCGCAGCACUGGGUGCUCCAUGGCACUGCACAAGCGUGCACCCGACAUAGCGCAGAGCCCUCGAGCUGUGCCCCCAGCAUGCCCAGGCUCAGUGAGAUGCAUUGGCACAGCUGCUGCUCGGAUCACAAAUCGGCAGGGAGGUGCUCCUGGGACAUUACAUCCCGCACAGCACAAGUUGUAGGGAGGCAAGCUUCCCUACAGCUGCUCCCCACAUGCCAGACUACACACCUGGCCAGGUGCACUCUUUUUUCCUGACUACCUCUGAGGCAUGAAGAGGAAGGAUGGUGCCAUGGCUAGGACACUAGCUGGGGUCUUGGGAGAUCUAGCUUCAAUUUCCUGCUUUGCUACAGACUCCCUGUGUGACCAAGGGCAACUCACUAGGCCCCUCUGGGCCUCAUUUCCCCAUCUGUAAAAUGGGGUUAAUCACACAGCCCAGGCUCACGGGGGUGUUGUGCAAAUCAAUGUGUUAAAAGCUUGUGAGGUGCUCAGAUGCUAUGGUGAAGAAGGUCCCAUACAAGAAUCUUAGACAGAUAAUUGGUCUCGACCUUCAGAAGAGUCUAUUUGAUGGCCCGCUGGUCUUUCCUCGAAUGGUCAGGAGCCAAUUUAGAAAAUAAGAAAAAAGUAAGGAUGUUAUUAUGGUAGUGCCCAGGAGCCACAGCCAUUGUCCAGGAGCCCAUCAUGCUGGGUGCUAUACAAACAGAGAACAAAAAGAGGGUCCCCUCCCCAAAGAGCGUGCUCUCUCUUACCCUCUCAAGAUACCAGAACACGAUUCCACUCUAUGGUGCUCCUCUGUCUCCCUUUCUGGCAAGCUUUGAAAUAGUUAGGAUGCUGAUGCCUUAAGAACCACUAUUAGGUUUCAAAGUGAACGUCCCAUUGACACAGACACGCUUCUCAAAGCCACAGGGCCAGAUUCUGACUUGCCUGCCCCUUGUGCAGUCAUUAGUACUGGUGCCUGGUGGCUGCUAUCCGACUGUAUUGACUUACUUUGCACCUGUAUAAAGGACUAAAUAAACAAAUUUUGGACAGUGGACAAUCAGCUUCUCUGCAGCCAUCACUGUAUCGUUUUCCUGUUAGGCUCUAUGCUGCUGCCCAUCACCAUCGCCCUAGUGUCUGACCACAUUCCAAUGGUUUUUUCUCUGCUAUCAUUUAUUUUUUAAAAAUCAUGAGAACCGAGAUCUUGGAGCAUGAGAUAGCAGCCUCCAGAAAGCAUGACGGGGAGGGUGAUCCAGCCCAGUUCCUCACCUGGGAAUGGCAGGUCCUAUGUGCCAAUGUGCUUUAGUCAGGCCCAGAGGGACCCCUCUCUUGCCAUCUCAUAGAUUUUUGUUUCUGAGCCUGUGCAAUCCCCUGCCUGUUGGAUGAAACUGACAAAGAAGGAAACCUGUUUCUUAGAUUCCCAAGAUCCCUGAAUUGAUACUUAAGGUCUAGUAUUCAGAUAAAAAUCUAGCAUAGUUACCAAAUUCAUGUAGCUUGGGUUGUGCUUUCCAAGGGAAGAGAUGGCUCAGAGCACUCAAGCAGUAGGUGUGAAACUUCCUGCUAUCACAGGUUCAAAUCCCCCUAGGGACAGCUCCAGCCUUCAAUUUAAAUUGAGUUGCUGGGUCAGACUUUCUCUGUUAUGAUGGUGUAAAUCAGGAGUGACUCCUGCGAAGCUGAUGCAGCUAUGCUAGGAUGAGAUCUGCACUUCUUGUGGAACUCGCUUUUAAAAAUAGACUCUUCAGUGGAUGUCAGAGGCCUGAGGGCACUUGCGAGAAGAAUAAGAAACUUCAAAAGAGACAUGGUGGCGCUGUUCCUCCCCAGCACGGGGAGCGUCCCCCCUCAAGGAGAGCAUGGACUGUGGCUGAGUUUGGAAAUACGAGUUGCUAUCUGGCAGGGCAGGGUGUGCUCCAGCCGGGGUUAUCUCUGCACCGCAGGCUGGCAUGCUGGCAUUUUCCGCACAGCCCACGGCCUCUCACAUCGGAGGAGGAAGGACAUAAUUGAAAGGAGAUAAGCAAAGGUGACCUCGAUAUCCUGAGCAGCCCCCCUGCAGGGCAAGACUCUGCAGAAGCCGCCUCCAGCGAGUGGGAUAACAGCCACCUGCCCGGGACGCGGCCCCACCAAGAGCUCUCCUCCGACUACCACGAGAGGUG
Dermochelys coriacea (leatherback sea turtle) is the source of this 2705-nucleotide RNA transcript. It is a transcript of the gene named relaxin 3, with no coding region annotated. The transcript has 3 exons. NCBI's taxonomy places the organism in Eukaryota, Metazoa, Chordata, Testudines, Dermochelyidae. The record is from RefSeq and is a predicted model, not a curated record.